AUGUACGGCUCUCCAUACUUUUAGCUGUGCAUGACAUAAAAAAAGGAGGAAAUAAAUAUCCCUUGUGCUCAGGGUGCGGCAGUGUGGAGACCUGUCGUAAUGCAUGUCUGUUUUUACGGCAUGUGAGGCUGCAUCAUGGCGGAUGCCGUGCAGUCGGGGCAGAGAAGUAUGGCA
Molecule: non-coding RNA, 174 nt
Filed under: bovine gut metagenome
Description: malK-I RNA
Rfam family: malK-I RNA
Source: RNAcentral